UGGGGAAUAUUGGACAAUGGGGGCAACCCUGAUCCAGCGACGCCGCGUGAGUGAAGAAGGUCUUAGGACUGUAAAGCUCUUUUGUUAGGGAAAAUAAUGAUGGUACCUAACGAAUAAGCUCCGGCUAACUUCGUGCCAGCAGCCGCGGUAAUACGAAGGGGGCUAGCGUUGUUCGGAAUAACUGGGCGUAAAGGGCGUGUAGGCGGUUUUGUUUGUCUGAUGUGAAAUCCAAGGGCUCAACCUUUGAAUUGCAUUGGAAACGGCAAAGCUAGAAUUCGAGAGGGGUACUUGGAAUUGCUUGUGUAGAGGUGAAAUUCGUAGAUAUAAGCAAGAACACUCGAGGCGAAGGCAGAGUACUGGCUCGAUAUUGACGCUGAGGCGCGAAAGCGUGGGGAGCAAACAGG
RNAcentral lists this ribosomal RNA (404 nucleotides) under uncultured bacterium. RNAcentral's name for it is "bacterial SSU rRNA". It matches the Rfam family "Bacterial small subunit ribosomal RNA", at positions 355 to 776 of the family's 1533-position model. The record is from RNAcentral.